AAAAAGCGAAGAUAAAAAUACAAGACGAGAAGACCCCAUGGAGCUUAAGACCAAAUAACACACCUCUUACUUUAAUCCUAAAAAAUAGGAAACCUGUUGCCUAGUCUUUGGCUGGGGCAUCCAAGGAGUAUAAUAUAACCUCCCUAACUAAAAUCUUAGAGCUACAACUCCAAGAAGCAGCAAACUGAUGUAAAUGACCCGAUUAUCGAUCAAUGAACCAAGUUACCCUGGGGAUAACAGCGCAAUCCAUUUUGAAAGCCCCUAUCGACGAAUGGGUUUACGACCUCGAUGUUGGAUCAGGGUACCCCAGUGGUGCAGCCGCUACUAAAGGUUCGUUUGUUCAACGAUUAAAACCCUACG
This 360-nucleotide ribosomal RNA is filed under the name Phrynobatrachus sp. BMNH 2018.5836. RNAcentral describes it as "partial large subunit ribosomal RNA". It matches the Rfam family "Bacterial large subunit ribosomal RNA", at positions 2076 to 2600 of the family's 2925-position model. Lineage: Eukaryota; Metazoa; Chordata; Amphibia; Anura; Phrynobatrachidae. The record is from RNAcentral.